UACGUAGGGUGCAAGCGUUGUCCGGAAUUAUUGGGCGUAAAGAGCUCGUAGGCGGUUUGUCGCGUCUGCUGUGAAAUCCCGAGGCUCAACCUCGGGUCUGCAGUGGGUACGGGCAGACUAGAGUGUGGUAGGGGAGAUUGGAAUUCCUGGUGUAGCGGUGGAAUGCGCAGAUAUCAGGAGGAACACCGAUGGCGAAGGCAGAUCUCUGGGCCAUUACUGACGCUGAGGAGCGAAAAGCAUGGGGGAGCGAACAGG
This 255-nucleotide ribosomal RNA is filed under the name uncultured bacterium. RNAcentral's name for it is "partial 16S ribosomal RNA". It matches the Rfam family "Bacterial small subunit ribosomal RNA", at positions 524 to 776 of the family's 1533-position model. The record is from RNAcentral.